CCAACGGGGGGCAGCAGUGGGGAAUAUUGGGCAAUGGGCGAAAGCCUGACCCAGCAACGCCGCGUGAGGGAAGAAGGUCUUCGGAUUGUAAACCUCUGUCCUUGGGGACGAAAAAAAUGACGGUACCCAAGGAGGAAGCCCCGGCUAACUACGUGCCAGCAGCCGCGGUAAUACGUAGGGGGCGAGCGUGGUCCGGAAUUACUGGGCGUAAAGGGUGCGUAGGCGGUUUUGUAAGUCAGUGGUGAAAUCCCCGGGCUUAACUCGGGGGGUGCAUGUGAAACUGGGAGGCUAGAGUGCAGGAGAGGGAAGCGGAAUUCCUAGUGUAGCGGUGAAAUGCGUAGAUAUUAGGAGGAACACCAGUGGCGAAGGCGGCUUUCUGGACUGUAACUGACGCUGAGGCACGAAAGCGUGGGGAGCAAACA
RNAcentral lists this ribosomal RNA (422 nucleotides) under uncultured prokaryote. Its description in RNAcentral is "bacterial SSU rRNA". It matches the Rfam family "Bacterial small subunit ribosomal RNA", at positions 338 to 774 of the family's 1533-position model. The record is from RNAcentral.